This is a non-coding RNA of Heterocephalus glaber (naked mole-rat), 651 nucleotides long. The record is from RefSeq and is a predicted model, not a curated record. NCBI's taxonomy places the organism in Eukaryota, Metazoa, Chordata, Mammalia, Rodentia, Bathyergidae.
GUGUACCUUUCUAUCCAAUUGCAUAAGCUGAAUGUAUCUACCUCAACCAAUGAACUAAUGCUAAGUUUCUUGCCAUUGUAUCCUCACCACCUCCCUUUCCAAAUCUACAUAAACCCUGUUCACUGCCCAGACAAGGCUGAUCGCUUUGUGGAGAGGUCCCCCCAUCGGUCCACUAGCAAAGUAAACCUGACUUCCAGGAUGUGUGCUCGAUUCUUCUCUGCCCGACUCUGUUAUACCACCUAUAGCUACAACAGUGUGAGUUAUAUUUGCUACAAUAAUGAUAAUGCUAAAAAUAAAGAACAACCACCUUAGGAGCCUGAAGAAGCUUCCUAGACUGAGCUUCCCUAAUAACCAACUUGCUCAUGUGUAAUUUCUCUUUUUUUUUCUUUUCUGGAGCGUUUAUCCCUACCCUCUACUCUUUUGUAUUGUGUGAAUCUUUUUCUUUCUUUUGAGAAUGAAAGGUUUACAGUGUUCCGGAAAUCUUGGAAAGAAAUACACAGAGACACAGAAUUCAGGAAGCAAGCCAACCAAGCCACAGUAAAUGGUCUAGCAGAUGGUGUCCUCCCACCCCAGCCACCCUACAACAUACAAUGAUCCAAAUGGGCAAGUAGCUGAGGGAUUGAACUCAGGACCUUGUGCUUAUGAGGCGGG